Molecule: long non-coding RNA, 958 nt
Filed under: Neogale vison (American mink)
Lineage: Eukaryota; Metazoa; Chordata; Mammalia; Carnivora; Mustelidae
Description: Neovison vison (American mink) lncRNA (ENSNVIG00000016279.1)
Source: RNAcentral
AAAUUAAGAAAAUAAUGAGAGUGGGGGCUGGGGUGGUUCAGUUGGUUGAGCGUUUGCCUUGGUUCAGGUCAUGAUCCCACUCCCAGAAGUUCCUACAGGCGGGAAAUACAAGAGGUAAGUACUGCUGUGUGGUCACAAGUGAUAGCAUUUCCUGUCCUGAAACAUCAACUGAAUUUGUUCAUCAACAAAUUCCAUCCUUUCUACUUUACUUACUUUAAAUUUACUUUCAGUCUCUAUGAGGAGAUUUGCUUUUUUGGUUUUGUUUUGUUUGUUUUAAUUUUUUUGUUUUCUUUACAGGAGAGCCCUUUAAUUACAGAAAAGGAAAUAAGCAAAAACUUGGCAACAUCAGGAUAUUAUUGGAGAAAGGUGUCUUUUCCAUUACCAUCGAUAACAAUGACCAUCAGCCUAUGUUUGACUUUGAUCCCUUUGGUGAAGUCUUCACAUAUAUAUUAUAUCUUGUGUGUCUCUUUGUUCUCAGCCUCAAUUUAAAAUAUAUUAAAGUUAUGUAAAACUUCUGUUAUAUUUUAAAACUUCUGUAUAUUUUAAACUGAGGCUGAUUUGGUUUGAGAAAAUGACAUGCUAUUUACAAUUGCAGUUUAAUAUUUGCACCCUGAUGUGUCUGAAGAACAGAUGUCAGAAGUAGAAACUGUUAAAGAAAAUAGCCUUUUAAACAUGCCAAGUUAAAUUAAAAAAAGAUCAAGCCCAUGAUAGAACAUUAAUGAUGAAAUACCCAUGGUAACUUUCUUUCUUCAAAGAAAUAGUGUAUAAAGAGGUGCCCAUGAUAAUACCUAGCUUUAAAAACCAUGCAGAAAUCGUUGUAUAACUAAAGCUCUGUUUUGGUUUGCAUGGGUUGAUACGUUGGUAUUUUUCCCUCUUCCAUUUUCUUUUUUCUAUACCCCAAUCUUUUACUACUGAAUUUGUGGUGACUUUGUGAUAAAAUUUAGCAAUUAAAAUAAAA